Delphinapterus leucas (beluga whale) is the source of this 656-nucleotide non-coding RNA. The record is from the annotation of a RefSeq genome assembly. NCBI's taxonomy places the organism in Eukaryota, Metazoa, Chordata, Mammalia, Artiodactyla, Monodontidae.
GGAGCUCCAGCCCUGGAUUCCCACCUGCUCCCAUUCGGGCUUCAGACAGAACACUCACCAUGGAUUUUGGGCUGAGCUGGGUUGUCCUUGUGGCUAUUUUACAAGGUGUCCAGUGUGAGGUGCAGCUGGUGGAGUCUGGGGGAGGCUUGGUGCAGCCUGGGGGGUCUCUGCGACUCUCCUGUGCAGCGUCUGGAUUCACCUUCAGUAGCUAUGGCAUGAGCUGGGUCCGCCAGGCUCCAGGGAAGGGGCUGGAGUGGAUCUCAAGUAUUAGUAGUAGUAGUGGUUACACAUACUAUGCAGACUCUGUGAAGGGCCGAUUCACCAUCUCCAGAGACAACUCCAAGAACACACUGUAUCUGCAAAUGAACAGCCUGAGAUCUGAGGACACGGCCGUUGGGCUGAGCUGGGUUGUCCUUGUGGCUAUUUUACAAGGUGUCCAGUGUGAGGUGCAGCUGGUGGAGUCUGGGGGAGGCUUGGUGCAGCCUGGGGGGUCUCUGCGACUCUCCUGUGCAGCGUCUGGAUUCACCUUCAGUAGCUAUGGCAUGAGCUGGGUCCGCCAGGCUCCAGGGAAGGGGCUGGAGUGGAUCUCCGUUAUUAGUAGUAGUGGUGGUAACACAUACUAUGCAGACUCUGUGAAGGGCCGAUUCACCAUCUCC